RNAcentral lists this ribosomal RNA (377 nucleotides) under uncultured cyanobacterium. Its description in RNAcentral is "bacterial SSU rRNA". It matches the Rfam family "Bacterial small subunit ribosomal RNA", at positions 376 to 770 of the family's 1533-position model. Lineage: Bacteria; Bacillati; Cyanobacteriota. The record is from RNAcentral.
CGCAAGCCUGACGGAGCAAGACCGCGGGGGGGAUGACGGCCUAAUGGUUGUAAACCGCUUUUCUCUGGGAAGAUGAUGACGGUACCAGAGGAAUCAGCCUCGGCUAACUCCGUGCCAGCAGCCGCGGUAAUACGGAGGAGGCAAGCGUUAUCCGGAAUUAUUGGGCGUAAAGCGUCCGCAGGGGGCGCAUCAAGUCUGCUGUUAAAGGUCGGAGCUAAACUCCGGUAGAGCAGUGGAAACUGGUGCGCUAGAGGGCGACAGGGGUAGAGGGAAUUCCCAGUGUAGCGGUGAAAUGCGUAGAGAUUGGGAAGAACACCGGUGGCGAAAGCGCUCUACUGGGUCGCACCUGACCCUCAGGGACGAAAGCUAAGGUAGCG